UACGUAGGUGGCAAGCGUUGUCCGGAAUUAUUGGGCGUAAAGCGCGCGCAGGCGGUCCUUUAAGUCUGAUGUGAAAGCCCACGGCUCAACCGUGGAGGGUCAUUGGAAACUGGGGGGACUUGAGUGCAGAAGAGGAAAGCGGAAUUCCACGUGUAGCGGUGAAAUGCGUAGAGAUGUGGAGGAACACCAGUGGCGAAGGCGGCUUUCUGGUCUGUAACUGACGCUGAGGCGCGAAAGCGUGGGGGAGCAAACAGG
RNAcentral lists this ribosomal RNA (255 nucleotides) under uncultured bacterium. RNAcentral describes it as "partial 16S ribosomal RNA". It matches the Rfam family "Bacterial small subunit ribosomal RNA", at positions 524 to 776 of the family's 1533-position model. The record is from RNAcentral.